RNAcentral lists this small RNA (551 nucleotides) under Alternaria compacta. Its description in RNAcentral is "eukaryotic LSU rRNA". The stretch from base 171 to 324 matches the Rfam family "5.8S ribosomal RNA". The record is from RNAcentral. Lineage: Eukaryota; Fungi; Ascomycota; Dothideomycetes; Pleosporales; Pleosporaceae.
CAUUACACAAAUAUGAAGGCGGGCUGGAACCUCUCGGGGUUACAGCCUUGCUGAAUUAUUCACCCUUGUCUUUUGCGUACUUCUUGUUUCCUUGGUGGGUUCGCCCACCACUAGGACAACCAUAAACCUUUUGUAAUUGCAAUCAGCGUCAGUAACAAAUUAAUAAUUACAACUUUCAACAACGGAUCUCUUGGUUCUGGCAUCGAUGAAGAACGCAGCGAAAUGCGAUAAGUAGUGUGAAUUGCAGAAUUCAGUGAAUCAUCGAAUCUUUGAACGCACAUUGCGCCCUUUGGUAUUCCAAAGGGCAUGCCUGUUCGAGCGUCAUUUGUACCCUCAAGCUUUGCUUGGUGUUGGGCGUCUUGUCUCUAGCUUUGCUGGAGACUCGCCUUAAAGUAAUUGGCAGCCGGCCUACUGGUUUCGGAGCGCAGCACAAGUCGCACUCUCUAUCAGCAAAGGUCUAGCAUCCAUUAAGCCUUUUUUUCAACUUUUGACCUCGGAUCAGGUAGGGAUACCCGCUGAACUUAAGCAUAUCAAUAAGCGGAGGAAAAAAU